UGGACUAAUACCUUGGUGGCUUGUACUUUGGUCAGCAUACAUGUACAAGUAGUUAAUACUAGUUUUCAAGUGUAUUGAUAUAAAAAUUGUUCAUAAAAUUGAGAAUGGAAAUGGGGAAUUAGUCAAAGAGACAACAACCCGACCAUAGAACAGACAACAGCAGAAGGUCACCAAUAGGUCUUCAAUGCAGCGAGAAGUUUCCGCACCCGGAGGUGUCCUUCAG
RNAcentral lists this long non-coding RNA (223 nucleotides) under Mytilus galloprovincialis (Mediterranean mussel). Lineage: Eukaryota; Metazoa; Mollusca; Bivalvia; Mytilida; Mytilidae. The record is from RNAcentral.